CCUGGCUCAGGACAAACGCUGGCGGCGUGCCUAACACAUGCAAGUCGAACGAAGCACAUCGGAAAGAGGACUUCGGGUCAAUGGGAUGGUGUGACUUAGUGGCGGACGGGUGAGUAAUGCAUGAGCAACCUGCCUUGGAGUGGGGGACAACAGUUGGAAACGACUGCUAAUACCGCAUGAUGUCGUUGGAGGGCAUCCUUCGACGACCAAAGAUUUAUCGCUCUGAGAUGGGCUCAUGUCUGAUUAGCCAGUUGGCGGGGUAACGGCCCACCAAAGCUACGAUCAGUAGCCGGACUGAGAGGUUGAACGGCCACAUUGGGACUGAGAUACGGCCCAGACUCCUACGGGAGGCAGCAGUGGGGAAUAUUGGGCAAUGGGCGCAAGCCUGACCCAGCAACGCCGCGUGAAGGAAGAAGGCCUUCGGGUUGUAAACUUCUUUACCAGGGACGAAAUAAAUGACGGUACCUGGAGAAUAAGCCACGGCUAACUACGUGCC
Molecule: ribosomal RNA, 496 nt
Filed under: uncultured bacterium
Lineage: Bacteria
Description: bacterial SSU rRNA
Rfam family: Bacterial small subunit ribosomal RNA
Source: RNAcentral